RNAcentral lists this ribosomal RNA (743 nucleotides) under uncultured bacterium. Its description in RNAcentral is "bacterial SSU rRNA". It matches the Rfam family "Bacterial small subunit ribosomal RNA", at positions 94 to 823 of the family's 1533-position model. The record is from RNAcentral.
AGCGGCGGAUGGGUGAGUAACACGUGGGGAACCUGCCCCUAAGUCUGGGAUACCAUUUGGAAACAGGUGCUAAUACCGGAUAAUAAAGCAGAUCGCAUGAUCAGCUUUUGAAAGGCGGCGUAAGCUGUCGCUAAGGGAUGGCCCCGCGGUGCAUUAGCUAGUUGGUAAGGUAACGGCUUACCAAGGCGACGAUGCAUAGCCGAGUUGAGAGACUGAUCGGCCACAUUGGGACUGAGACACGGCCCAAACUCCUACGGGAGGCAGCAGUAGGGAAUCUUCCACAAUGGACGCAAGUCUGAUGGAGCAACGCCGCGUGAGUGAAGAAGGUUUUCGGAUCGUAAAGCUCUGUUGUUGGUGAAGAAGGAUAGAGGUAGUAACUGGCCUUUAUUUGACGGUAAUCAACCAGAAAGUCACGGCUAACUACGUGCCAGCAGCCGCGGUAAUACGUAGGUGGCAAGCGUUGUCCGGAUUUAUUGGGCGUAAAGCGAGCGCAGGCGGAAAAAUAAGUCUGAUGUGAAAGCCCUCGGCUUAACCGAGGAACUGCAUCGGAAACUGUUUUUCUUGAGUGCAGAAGAGGAGAGUGGAACUCCAUGUGUAGCGGUGGAAUGCGUAGAUAUAUGGAAGAACACCAGUGGCGAAGGCGGCUCUCUGGUCUGCAACUGACGCUGAGGCUCGAAAGCAUGGGUAGCGAACAGGAUUAGAUACCCUGGUAGUCCAUGCCGUAAACGAUGAGUGCUAAGUGU